ACAAUGCAGAGCUUAAGGUAGUGA
This 24-nucleotide non-coding RNA is filed under the name Arabidopsis thaliana (thale cress). The record is from RNAcentral. Lineage: Eukaryota; Viridiplantae; Streptophyta; Magnoliopsida; Brassicales; Brassicaceae.